RNAcentral lists this ribosomal RNA (275 nucleotides) under uncultured bacterium. Its description in RNAcentral is "partial 16S ribosomal RNA". It matches the Rfam family "Bacterial small subunit ribosomal RNA", at positions 338 to 625 of the family's 1533-position model. The record is from RNAcentral.
CCUACGGGUGGCUGCAGUCGAGAAUCUUCGGCAAUGGACGAAAGUCUGACCGAGCGACGCCGCGUGCGGGAUGAAGGCCUUCGGGUUGUAAACCGCUGUCGAGGGGGAUUAAGGGCAACUUGAAUGAACCCUGGAGGAAGGAGAGGCUAAGCUCGUGCCAGCAGCCGCGGUAAGACGAGCUCUCCAAACGUUAUUCGGUAUCACUGGGCUUAAAGAGUUCGUAGGCGGCUUUGUAGGUGGGGUGUGAAAGCCCUCGGCUCAACCGAGGAAUUGCG